UUGACCCCCAUCCUGCGUAAAGCAGUAA
This 28-nucleotide ribosomal RNA is filed under the name uncultured Tuber. RNAcentral describes it as "partial 28S ribosomal RNA". Lineage: Eukaryota; Fungi; Ascomycota; Pezizomycetes; Pezizales; Tuberaceae. The record is from RNAcentral.